This is a non-coding RNA of Lolium perenne, 943 nucleotides long. The record is from RefSeq and is a predicted model, not a curated record. NCBI's taxonomy places the organism in Eukaryota, Viridiplantae, Streptophyta, Magnoliopsida, Poales, Poaceae.
UUGCUAGACGACUUAUCUAGUGCUUGGCCGUUAGUGCCCGCCUAGACGCCUACGCAACCUCUGGGUCCGUCUCGGAGUACGGCCGAACUUCGUCACGGGUAGCUUAGUUGGGUGGCCCCCCUAGACUUUCUUGUUGAACUGGGAACGGUCUUGUUGUGAGACAUCGCCUGUAAGAAGCGGGUCGAGCAUGCGUAUGGUUACAUUUGGGCAACCCCUGCAGGGUGUACAUCUUAUCGAUAAGCCGUGUCCGCGGUUAUGGACGACUUGGAAUUGUAUAGCUUGAUCAUAGAACAACUUACACCGUUAUCUUGUUGCUAAUAAUCUGAUAAUAACUUGCGUAGUAAUAUAGCCUUACUACAACCGUUACCCAAUAAAACUUGUCCACCGUUGAGUGCCUUUUACAUUGCCUCUUCGCAAUUGUUGGAGGGGAUAUGUGUAAUCGGCUGGGUUAUGUUUGUGUAGUAUUUUAUAUGUUACCUUAUGCGCUCUCUCACCUUCUCUGAUUAGACGAAUGUUGUAGAGUGUCUCUAUAGGUUUUUAGUGCUUGCGCUGCCGCUUAACUCCACCAUAUUGCCUAUGACGUUCCUCUUGCGUCCUCUAAGUCCCCUGCGUGCCUCAAGUACAAAGGACGACUGGUUGACGAAUGCUUAUACGUCUUGAAGUCUUGUUAAGUACGAACCCGUACUUAUUGCUGCUUCUACGGGAUAUAACCGGGCAGGUAUGAAGAUAUGUUCGAUGAAGAUGACGUUAGCAAGGUUACCCUUCCGGCUUGGCCUGUGCAGGGUUAUGGACGCCACUGGUUAUCUUCAGGACUCUUAGUCCAAUUUGUAUCUUGUCCGUACUCGGACGUAUUCGAUCUUCUGUAUGAUUUGGAUCUUUGUAUUGUAUAUUUGUAUCUUGACUCGUUGGAGUCGUUGUUGUAAUAUAUGUAUCUUGUGGGCUC